Long non-coding RNA from Culex pipiens pallens (northern house mosquito), 988 nucleotides. RefSeq lists it as uncharacterized. The transcript is spliced from 2 exons. The record is from RefSeq and is a predicted model, not a curated record. NCBI's taxonomy places the organism in Eukaryota, Metazoa, Arthropoda, Insecta, Diptera, Culicidae.
CUCCCCAAUCAAACCGUUUUCCGCAUGACGGGUUCAUUCCGCUUCGAAUUCCGCUUCGAAAAUUGUUUCGAAAUUUUCUAAACGGAAUCUCCGGUUGGACUCAGUUUCGAUUCCGUUUGAGCCAUUUGGUACAUUAGCGACACCUGCUGGUGUACGGCCGAACUUCGGUGACAUUUCGCCGCGUUUCGCCGAAGCGGUUUUUCUUUUAAUGUGUGAGUGUGACAAAUGUCAAACAUGUCAAAGUGUGUGCUAGAAAAUUUGAAGAAGAUGCUGCCUUUUCCUUGACCGGCGUGAACUUCAUCUUGGACAGUUUGUCCUCGUCAUCGGCGGUAGCCUUUUCGUCCGCUUACUGCCUUCGGUGGGUUUGGCCACGUUGGAGAAGCUGAAGCCCGUUCCGAUCGUGGAACGUGUCGAGCCAAACCCCGAAGCUGAAUGGUUUGGCUGCCGCCGGAGUCGGUGCCGCGGCCGUGUUUGCCCCCGAGGAAAUCCUCUUCCAGAAGCACGCCAAAUUCACGAGAGCGUCCUUCGCCGUGAGUCGGCUUUCUUUUGCAGAACCAAGCCAACGACGUCACCCCGGAAUUCGGACUCGCCGACUCGACGUAAGCGCGCUUUGUGCAGCAGCUGUGUCGGGACUUUCCGCGGGAGCGUGUACCGGUGUACCGGUUUCGGUCGAAGCGGUCAAAGCCAACUCCCAGUCACUGCUGCGGUCGUCCGUAAUAGACACUGCCUGGGGCAGUCUGGUGGUGGAGAUCGGCUACACGUUUACGGCCUCGCUCGAGGACUGCAGGAACCACAUGCUGAAGGUUGGCGGCCGGAAGAUAUCAGCGCAGGAUGUUGCUAAGAUUAUUUCGUCGCUGUCGGAGAGUCCUCCGGGUAGAGCAGUGGCGCUAGCACCACCGGUACACAAAGGUCAAGGUUCACGGUCCCGGAAUCCAACGAUGAAGAAGUUCCGAUCGAUACAGGGGAAACGGAGUGUACUUAAUCGCAA